UACAGAGGGUGCGAGCGUUAAUCGGAAUUACUGGGCGUAAAGCGCACGUAGUCGGCUUUGCAAGUCGGUUGUGAAAUCCCCGGGCUCAACCUGGGAACUGCAUCCGAGACUGCAUUGCUAGAGUAUGGGAGAGGGAAGCGGAAUUUCUGGUGUAGCAGUGAAAUGCGUAGAUAUCAGAAGGAACAUCAGUGGCGAAGGCGGCUUCCUGGACCAAUACUGACGAUCAGGUGCGAAAGCGUGGGGAGCAACCAGG
Molecule: ribosomal RNA, 253 nt
Filed under: uncultured bacterium
Lineage: Bacteria
Description: partial 16S ribosomal RNA
Rfam family: Bacterial small subunit ribosomal RNA
Source: RNAcentral